GAUGAACGCUGGCGGCGUGCCUAAUACAUGCAAGUCGAGCGAACAGACGAGGAGCUUGCUCCUCUGACGUUAGCGGCGGACGGGUGAGUAACACGUGGAUAACCUACCUAUAAGACUGGGAUAACUUCGGGAAACCGGAGCUAAUACCGGAUAAUAUAUUGAACCGCAUGGUUCAAUAGUGAAAGACGGUUUUGCUGUCACUUAUAGAUGGAUCCGCGCCGCAUUAGCUAGUUGGUAAGGUAACGGCUUACCAAGGCAACGAUGCGUAGCCGACCUGAGAGGGGGAUCGGCCACACUGGAACUGAGACACGGUCCAGACCCCUACGGGAGGCAGCAGUAGGGAAUCUUCCGCAAUGGGCGAAAGCUUGACGGAGCAACGCCGCGUGAGUGAUGAAGGUCUUCGGAUCGGAAAACUCUGUUAUUAGGGAAGAACAAAUGUGUAAGUAACUAUGCACGUCUUGACGGUACCUAAUCAGAAAGCCACGGCUAACUACGUG
RNAcentral lists this ribosomal RNA (497 nucleotides) under uncultured bacterium. RNAcentral's name for it is "partial 16S ribosomal RNA". It matches the Rfam family "Bacterial small subunit ribosomal RNA", at positions 28 to 507 of the family's 1533-position model. The record is from RNAcentral.